CGGGCCCAAGAGUCCACAUCGACGGCCCGGUUUGGCACCUCGAUGUCGGCUCGUCGCAUCCUGGGGCUGGAGUAGGUCCCAAGGGUUGGGCUGUUCGCCCAUUAAAGCGGUACGCGAGCUGGGUUCAGAACGUCGUGAGACAGUAGACCAAUGCUGUCUGUAAAUUCGGCUAUAUGCUGGAAACUCCGAGGAUCCCGCGCUACGAGUUCCGUCCCACCAGGGCGGUACCGUGACAACGUGUCGGGUGCGGACAAUCAGCAGGAAAGGCUGGAUGGCUACAUCUCGGGCUACGUCGACGGAGAAGGAUCCUUUUCGGUCGGCGUAAACCGCAAUCCGAGCUGCCGGCUUGGUUAUCAGCUAGUGCCAGAGGUCCACGUCAGUCAGAACGACGAUCGGGCGGAGGUGCUACACCUGAUACAGGCGCGGUGGGGAGGGUGCGGCUACAUCAAGCCCAACGGAAGGAACGACCAUGCGCUCGUGCUAGUCGUCCGGAAACGGUCGGACUUGCUUGGGCGGGUGAUUCCUUUCUUCGAGAGAUCUCCGCUUCUGUCGUCGAAGCAAGAUGACUUCGAGAAGUUUGCACUGAUCGUUCGAGAGAUGGACACCGGACGCCAUCGGACCCCGGAAGGGUUUGAGGCUCUGCUGGAGAUCGCAAUCUCCAUGAACGGAGCCGGACGCUUUCGGCGAGUGCGGUGGCAAAGGCUCCUUGGCCAUCCAGAAUCCUCAGAGACUGUACGCCGAACAGCGGCAACCUAAGCCGCUGAAGAUACAGUCCGAGCUGCAUGGCGACAUGCAGAGUCAGGCAGAAAUGACCUGGCCCCCAAGGCCACUUGGGAGUAACAAAACUGUCGGUCCCUAUCUGCCGUGGGCGUUGGAGAGUUGAGAGGAUUUGUCCCUAGUACGAGAGGACCGGGAUGAACGCACCUCUGGUGUAUCUGUUGUCCUGCCAAGGGCAGUGCAGGCUAGCUACGUGCGGAUCGGAUAACCGCUGAAAGCAUCUAAGCGGGAAGCCGGCCUCGAGAUGAGCUCUCCCAUCCCCUCGAGGGAGUAAGACCCCUGGUAGACCACCAGGUUGAUAGGCCGGAUCUAGAAGGGCGGCAACGCCUGAAGGAGACCGGUACUAAUGGGUCGAGGGCUUGACGGAUUU
This 1147-nucleotide ribosomal RNA is filed under the name Actinomycetes bacterium. RNAcentral's name for it is "Actinobacteria bacterium partial 23S ribosomal RNA". It matches the Rfam family "Bacterial large subunit ribosomal RNA", at positions 2487 to 2922 of the family's 2925-position model. The record is from RNAcentral. Lineage: Bacteria; Bacillati; Actinomycetota; Actinomycetes.